This is a long non-coding RNA of Bubalus bubalis (water buffalo), 330 nucleotides long. RefSeq lists it as uncharacterized. NCBI's taxonomy places the organism in Eukaryota, Metazoa, Chordata, Mammalia, Artiodactyla, Bovidae. The record is from RefSeq and is a predicted model, not a curated record. The transcript has 2 exons.
GGAGGAGAAGGGGAUGACAGAGGAUAAGAUUGUUGGAUGGCAUCACCAACUCAAUGGCUGGAACACCAGCAAGGAAGGUGGGAGAAACUUCAGUCAGACAAAGCAGACAAAGAUCAAAGGGCAGGCCUGAAGAAUUUGGUUAGAAGUUACAAGGAGUCCCCUACACACGAACCUUCAAGUUGAGAACUUUCAAAGAUGCGAACGUGCGUUCCCCUGUCCAAUCAUGUAAGUUAGUUCAUGCAUCUGGAGUGUAUUGUCAUGUGAGUGCAUCCUCUAUGAGAGGUUGUGCUUUUGUGUACUGGAUUGCAAGAUUAAAAAUAUUUGGUUUUG